GUUUUUUGUUUUUGUUUCAGCCGGUUUAUUUUCCACUUGCUAUGGAAUUCUACGUGCUAUGAAUCCAAAAAUAGAAACUGAGGAAUUAGGCCAUGAUAUCAAGUCUAUCUGUCCAGUUUCCAUGGCUGCAUCACUUGAAUGACUGCAUAGACACAAAUUACUUGUUGGUCAUAAAGCAUCGUUGAUAAAUCUUCAGGUUUUUUUUUGCAUGAAUAUUAAUUUCGAUUAAUUUGUCAUUUCUUUGGUUUUCCUUAUAGAAUGACCACAUUGAAUCCGACCGAUGACAAUGCAUAGACAUGUGCAUAAGUGUUAAAAUAUGAUUUUAGUUCAAGAUUGAAGAAAAAACUCAAUGAAAACA
Sitodiplosis mosellana (orange wheat blossom midge) is the source of this 358-nucleotide long non-coding RNA. RefSeq lists it as uncharacterized. The record is from RefSeq and is a predicted model, not a curated record. NCBI's taxonomy places the organism in Eukaryota, Metazoa, Arthropoda, Insecta, Diptera, Cecidomyiidae. The transcript is spliced from 4 exons.